UACGUAGGGUGCAAGCGUUAAUCGGAAUUACUGGGCGUAAAGCGUGCGCAGGCGGUUGGGCAAGACCGAUGUGAAAUCCCCGGGCUUAACCUGGGAAUGGCAUUGGUGACUGCACGGCUAGAGUGUGUCAGAGGGGUGUAGAAUUCCACGUGUAGCAGUGAAAUGCGUAGAGAUGUGGAGGAAUACCGAUGGCGAAGGCAGCCCCCUGGGAUAACACUGACGCUCAUGCACGAAAGCGUGGGGAGCAAACAGG
RNAcentral lists this ribosomal RNA (253 nucleotides) under uncultured bacterium. Its description in RNAcentral is "partial 16S ribosomal RNA". It matches the Rfam family "Bacterial small subunit ribosomal RNA", at positions 524 to 776 of the family's 1533-position model. The record is from RNAcentral.